UUAAAUUGAAGAGUUUGAUCAUGGCUCAGAUUGAACGCUGGCGGCAGGCCUAACACAUGCAAGUCGAACGGUAACAGGAAGCAGCUUGCUGCUUCGCUGACGAGUGGCGGACGGGUGAGUAAUGUCUGGGAAACUGCCUGAUGGAGGGGGAUAA
This 154-nucleotide ribosomal RNA is filed under the name Escherichia coli. RNAcentral describes it as "partial 16S ribosomal RNA". It matches the Rfam family "Bacterial small subunit ribosomal RNA", at positions 1 to 146 of the family's 1533-position model. The record is from RNAcentral. RNAcentral also lists the same sequence under 13 other names. Lineage: Bacteria; Pseudomonadati; Pseudomonadota; Gammaproteobacteria; Enterobacterales; Enterobacteriaceae.